Molecule: unclassified non-coding RNA, 206 nt
Filed under: Hevea brasiliensis (rubber tree)
Lineage: Eukaryota; Viridiplantae; Streptophyta; Magnoliopsida; Malpighiales; Euphorbiaceae
Source: RNAcentral
CUCUUCUUCAGCGCCGCCUGCUGCUCCGGCGUCGCGUCGGUCUGAUAGGUCGCCUUCCAGGUCUCGUACGGCAUGCCAUAGACCGCCUCGCGGCUUUCGUCCUUGCUUAAGCCCAAGCCCUUCUCGUCGGCGGCCUCUUUCAGCCAGUUCGAGAGGCAAUUGCGGCAGAAGCCCGCGAGGUUCAUCAGGUCGAUAUUCUGCACGUC